CCUACGGGUGGCUGCAGUGAGGAAUAUUGGUCAAUGGACGAGAGUCUGAACCAGCCAAGUCGCGUGAAGGAUGACUGCCCUAUGGGUUGUAAACCUCUUUUAUAAGGGAAUAAAACGAGGCACGUGUGCCUUUUUGCAGGUACCUUAUGAAUAAGGAUCGGCUAACUCCGUGCCAGCCGCCGCCGUAAUACGGAGGAUUCGAGCGUUAUCCGGAUUUAUUGGGGUUAAAGGGAUCGGAGAUGGGUUGUUAAGUCAGUUGUGAAAGUUUGGGGGUCAACCGUAAAAUUGCCAUUGAUACUGGCAGUCUUGAGUACAGUAGAGGUAGGCGGAAUUCGUGGUGUAGCGGUGAAAUGCUUAGAUAUCACGAAGAACCCCGAUUGCGAAGGCAGCUUAC
This 394-nucleotide ribosomal RNA is filed under the name uncultured bacterium. RNAcentral's name for it is "partial 16S ribosomal RNA". It matches the Rfam family "Bacterial small subunit ribosomal RNA", at positions 338 to 729 of the family's 1533-position model. The record is from RNAcentral.